Molecule: non-coding RNA, 575 nt
Organism: Paramuricea clavata
Lineage: Eukaryota; Metazoa; Cnidaria; Anthozoa; Malacalcyonacea; Plexauridae
Source: the annotation of a GenBank genome assembly
GACCAUCCUUACAGGAGUUGUUGUAAUCCUGACCGUUUACUUCAAUAAACACCAGUCUUUGGUAAGCCCAAGGAUAUAUAUAUAUAUAUAUAUAUAUAUAUAUAUAUAUAUAUAUAUAUAUAUAUAUAUAUAUAUAUAUAUAUAUAUAUAUAUAUAUAUAUAUAUAUAUAUAUAUAUAUAUAUAGACAUAAAUUUAUAUAACUAUAGACAUAGAAUUUCAACAGUGUUGAGGAAGGAAGCGGAAGUAGCGAUCCUGAGUUGCGAGGUUGACAGUAUUCCUACGAAAAUAGUGUUGCGUUGUUUCACGAUCGCUUCGAUCGUUUUUUUUCCAGAAAUACAUAAGCGUUUGCUGUGUGAUGGUUACGAUAGUGCUAGCCCUGGGUGUGAUCAUAGAAAAGUCAACAACAGCCACAGAUAUACAUAACUAUUUGAAGAAGGGUAACUGCAAGGGUGUAUACGCAUACAACAAGCCCUCUAAAAAAAAAAAUAUUGUGACAAGGUCAAAAAAGCGGAUCUCUGGUAUUAUAUUCUGUUAUUUGCAACUGAUAUUGUGUUGGUGCUGUGUUCCUUCGCCA